Molecule: transfer RNA, 66 nt
Filed under: Salinibacterium sp. CAN_S4
Lineage: Bacteria; Bacillati; Actinomycetota; Actinomycetes; Micrococcales; Microbacteriaceae
Description: tRNA-Pro
Source: RNAcentral
AAGUAGCUCAAUUGGGAGAGCGCUGUGUAGGGGACACGGAGGCAGCGGGAUCGAAACCCGCCUUCA